RNAcentral lists this ribosomal RNA (395 nucleotides) under Sandaracinaceae bacterium. Its description in RNAcentral is "partial 23S ribosomal RNA". It matches the Rfam family "Bacterial large subunit ribosomal RNA", at positions 2533 to 2925 of the family's 2925-position model. The record is from RNAcentral. Lineage: Bacteria; Pseudomonadati; Myxococcota; Polyangiales; Sandaracinaceae.
CGGCUCAUCGCAUCCUGGGGCUGGAGCAGGUCCCAAGGGUUUGGCUGUUCGCCAAUUAAAGCGGUACGCGAGCUGGGUUUAGAACGUCGUGAGACAGUUCGGUCCCUAUCUGCCGUGGGCGCAGGAUGCUUGAGAGGAGCUGUUCAUAGUACGAGAGGACCUGAACGGACGCACCUCUAGUGUUCCGGUUGUCUCGCCAGAGGCAUAGCCGGGUAGCUAUGUGCGGAACGGAUAACCGCUGAAAGCAUCUAAGCGGGAAGCCGGCCUCGAGAUUAGGCAUCCCGGGCCGCAAGGCCCCUGAAGGCCCCUCGAAGACUACGAGGCAAUAGGCAGGGUGUGGAAGCGCAGUAAUGCGUGGAGCUAACCUGUACUAAUCGGCCGUGAGGCUUGACCUA